CAGUCGCCGCGGUAAUACAGAGGGUGCAAGCGUUAAUCGGAAUUACUGGGCGUAAAGCGCGCGUAGGUGGUUUGUUAAGUUGGAUGUGAAAUCCCCGGGCUCAACCUGGGAACUGCAUCCAAAACUGGCAAGCUAGAGUAUGGUAGAGGGUGGUGGAAUUUCCUGUGUAGCGGUGAAAUGCGUAGAUAUAGGAAGGAACACCAGUGGCGAAGGCGACCACCUGGACUGAUACUGACACUGAGGUGCGAAAGAGUGGGGAGCAAACAGGAUUAGAUACCCCUGUAGUCCCUGUCUCUUAUAC
Molecule: ribosomal RNA, 301 nt
Filed under: uncultured bacterium
Lineage: Bacteria
Description: partial 16S ribosomal RNA
Rfam family: Bacterial small subunit ribosomal RNA
Source: RNAcentral